GUGCGAAAGCACGACAAGGUUAAUCCGAGUGAUUUCUGCUAAAGAAAUCUUUUGCAAGUCAUAAAACCACUAGUGAAUAAGGGGUGGGCAAGUUCUGGUGUCAGCCGCCGCGGUAAAACCAGCACCUCAAGUGGUCAGGAGGAUUAUUGGGCCUAAAGCAUCCGUAGCCGGCUCUGUAAGUUUUCGGUUAAAUCCAUGUGCUCAACACAUGGGCUGCCGAAAAUACUGCAUAGCUAGGGAGUGGGAGAGGUAGACGGUACUCGGUAGGAAGGGGUAAAAUCCUUUGAUCUAUCGAUGACCACCUGUGGCGAAGGCGGUCUACCAGAACACGUUCGACGGUGAGGGAUGAAAGCUGGGGGAGCAAACCGGAUUAGAUACCCGGGUAGUCCCAGCUGUAAACGAUGCAGACUCGAUGAUGCAUUGGCAUAUAGCCAGUGCAGUGUCGCAGGGAAGCCGUUAAGUCUGCCGCCUGGGAAGUACGUACGCAAGUAUGAAACUUAAAGGAAUUGGCGGGGGAGCACCACAAGGGGUGAAGCCUGCGGUUCAAUUGGAGUCAACGCCAGAAAUCUUACCCGGAGAGACAGCAGAAUGAAGGUCAAGCUGAAGACUUUACCAGACAAGCUGAGAGAG
RNAcentral lists this ribosomal RNA (630 nucleotides) under crenarchaeote SCGC AAA003-G15. RNAcentral's name for it is "SSU rRNA". It matches the Rfam family "Archaeal small subunit ribosomal RNA", at positions 357 to 988 of the family's 1478-position model. Lineage: Archaea; Thermoproteati; Thermoproteota. The record is from RNAcentral.